RNAcentral lists this ribosomal RNA (1239 nucleotides) under metagenome. RNAcentral's name for it is "SSU rRNA". It matches the Rfam family "Eukaryotic small subunit ribosomal RNA", at positions 528 to 1790 of the family's 1831-position model. The record is from RNAcentral.
AAACCGUUCCCGAGGAUCUAUUGGAGGGCAAGUCUGGUGCCAGCAGCCGCGGUAAUUCCAGCUCCAAUAGCGUAUAUUAAAGUUGUUGUGGUUAAAAAGCUCGUAGUUGGAUUUCGGCGGGUAGUGGUCGGUUUGAAUUGCUUCAACACUGGCUUUUUUACCCGUGUGUUUUGCCAGAAUUUAACGGGUGAUCUUCGCCGAUUGUCCGUUAGAACUGGCAGGUUUACUUUGAAAAAAUUAGAGUGCUCAAAGCAAGCUUGAUUGCUUGAAUAUUCGUGCAUGGAAUAAUAGAAUAGGAAGUCGUUUCUAUUUUGUUGGUUUUCGGAAAUCGACUUAAUGAUUAAUAGGGAUAGUCGGGGGCAUUUGUAUUCAAACGACAGAGGUGAAAUUCUUGGACCGUUUGAAGACAAACUACUGCGAAAGCAUUUGCCAAGAAUGUUUUCAUUAAUCAAGAACGAAAGUUAGAGGUUCGAAGGCGAUUAGAUACCGCCCUAGUUCUAACCAUAAACGAUGCCAGCUAGCGAUCUGCCGGUGCUUGAUUUUCUGGCCCGGCAGGCAGCUUCCGGGAAACCAAAGCUUGUGGGUUCCAGGGGAAGUAUGGUUGCAAAGCUGAAACUUAAAGGAAUUGACGGAAGGGCACCACCAGGAGUGGAGCCUGUGGCUUAAUUUGACCCAACACGGGAAAUCUCACCAGGCCCGGACACCAGAAGGAUUGACAGAUUGAUAGCUCUUUCUUGAUUUGGUGGGUGGUGGUGCAUGGCCGUUCUUAGUUGGUGGAGUGAUUUGUCUGGUUAAUUCCGAUAACGAACGAGACUCUGUCCUGUUAAAUAGAUCCAACCUAGUUGUAGGGUUGGAAUGUCUUCUUAGAGGGACUGGUGAUUAUUAGUCACACGAGAUUGAGCAAUAGCAGGUCUGUGAUGCCCUUAGAUGUUCUGGGCCGCACACGCGCUACACUGAAGUGAUCAGCUAGUUUUUCCCUCUCCGAGAGGAGCGGGUAAACUGUUGAACCCACUUCGUGGUAGGGAUCGGAGCUUGCAAUUAUUCUCCGUGAACCAGGAAUACCCAGUAGGUGCAAGUCAUAAGCUUGCAUCGAUUACGUCCCUGCCCUUUGUACACACCGCCCGUCGCUACUACCGAUUGAGUGUUUUAGUGAGGACCUCGGAUUGCUUGCCUGGCGGUUAACGCUGCCUAGCUGGCGAAAAGACGUCCAAACUGUAGCACUUAGAGGAAGUAAAAGUC